This 468-nucleotide ribosomal RNA is filed under the name uncultured Alphaproteobacteria bacterium. RNAcentral describes it as "bacterial SSU rRNA". It matches the Rfam family "Bacterial small subunit ribosomal RNA", at positions 9 to 524 of the family's 1533-position model. The record is from RNAcentral. Lineage: Bacteria; Pseudomonadati; Pseudomonadota; Alphaproteobacteria.
GAGUUUGAUCCUGGCUCAGAGCGAACGCUGGCGGCAGGCCUAAUACAUGCAAGUCGAACGCACCUUCGGGUGAGUGGCGGACGGGUGAGUAACGCGUGGGAACGUGCCCUUUGGUACGGAACAACUGAGGGAAACUUCAGCUAAUACCGUAUGUGCCCUUCGGGGGAAAGAUUUAUCGCCAUUGGAGCGGCCCGCGUUGGAUUAGCUAGUUGGUAGGGUAAUGGCCUACCAAGGCUACGAUCCAUAGCUGGUCUGAGAGGAUGAUCAGCCACACUGGGACUGAGACACGGCCCAGACUCCUACGGGAGGCAGCAGUAGGGAAUCUUGCGCAAUGGGCGAAAGCCUGACGCAGCCAUGCCGCGUGUAUGAUGAAGGUCUUAGGAUUGUAAAAUACUUUUCACCGGGGAAGAUAAUGACGGUACCCGGAGAAGAAGCCCCGGCUAACUUCGUGCCAGCCGCCGCAGUAAU